AGUCAUGCGUUGAGUAAGAGGAGUAACAUUGGGACGUGUUUAGAGAGAAAACCAUUUGCUGCAAGGUUUUUCACGAAGCGAUGUGAAGGUAGCUUAGGAGCAGAUACGUCCGGUUGGUAAUCGUUAUCUUACUAAAUGAGUGACAAUAUCUAGUAUCCCUAGUUAUUGUAAGCUAGGUGGUACCGCGAACUAAUCAAUUCGUCCUAAAA
RNAcentral lists this non-coding RNA (209 nucleotides) under Vagococcus penaei. Its description in RNAcentral is "T-box sequence". It matches the Rfam family "T-box leader". Rfam says of the family: Uncharged tRNA acts as the effector for transcription antitermination of genes in the T-box leader family. T-boxes are found upstream of many aminoacyl-tRNA synthetase genes and some amino acid biosynthetic genes usually in Gram-positive bacteria. The record is from RNAcentral. Lineage: Bacteria; Bacillati; Bacillota; Bacilli; Lactobacillales; Enterococcaceae.